AUACGUAGGGGGCGAGCGUUGUCCGGAAUUACUGGGCGUAAAGGGUGCGUAGGCGGUCUGUUAAGUCAGAUGUGAAAUACCUCGGCUCAACUGAGGGGUUGCAUUUGAAACUGGUAGGCUAGAGUACAGGAGAGGGAAGUGGAAUUCCUAGUGUAGCGGUGAAAUGCGUAGAGAUUAGGAAGAACACCAGUGGCGAAGGCGGCUUCCUGGCCUGUAACUGACGCUGAGGCACGAAAGCGUGGGUAGCGAACAGGAUUAGAUACCCUGGUAGUCCACGCUGUAAACGAUGGAUACUAGGUGUAGGGGGUAUCGACCCCCUCUGUGCCGGAGUUAACGCAAUAAGUAUCCCGCCUGGGGAGUACGACCGCAAGGUUGAA
RNAcentral lists this ribosomal RNA (377 nucleotides) under uncultured bacterium. RNAcentral's name for it is "bacterial SSU rRNA". It matches the Rfam family "Bacterial small subunit ribosomal RNA", at positions 523 to 898 of the family's 1533-position model. The record is from RNAcentral.